Small nuclear RNA from Dermatophagoides pteronyssinus (European house dust mite), 147 nucleotides. Lineage: Eukaryota; Metazoa; Arthropoda; Arachnida; Sarcoptiformes; Pyroglyphidae. The record is from RefSeq and is a predicted model, not a curated record.
GUCCUUGGGCUAAGGGCGGUUUCAGUGUAGUUGACGCUCUGCGGAUACCUGAUAAUUGCUAAUUGAAAACUUUCAGUCCAAUCAACGCAACUCUUUGAGUUCAAUAUUUAAAACCUUAGGGUUUGCAAUCUUUUUGCACCAGUGAGC